GCAAAUGGGGUUCGCCAGAAUUAAAUAUUAAAACCGCCUAGAAUUGGUCUUGAGUCGGGAAACUUCUAUAUAAGACAUGGACUUCAUGGGUUUCUGACACUGCCAACAACCCUACCAAGUGCACACUCCACUGUAGCUUCCUUCCAUUCAAACAAUUCCAAAAGAAAAUUUUGAGAACAUGGAACAAAUAGAUCGGCAAAACCUCCAAACUUUAAGCCAGUUCUUAAUUAGAUAUCAGUUUCUAAACAAAAUAAUUCAAUUGUUGCUUUCAGUUUCUGUGCUUUCUUUGCUAUUAUUGUCUAACUCCUCUUGCCUUUCUUUUUUCCAUUCCUUCAACUUCUACUUCUCCACUGUCCCUGUCCAGCUCUUUAGCCACACCAUAAACAAGAAUUGCAUAUUCCUCCUCUGUAAUGGUCUUCUAGUUUUCGUCGCCACAUUUUCGGGUUUGAUUAGUUCUUCCUCAGAGUAUAAGAAUCGUAGCAGCAUUAAUGAGUCUGCCAAUAACUAUGAAGAUGAUGCACUGCCAUUAGUAUUGGAUCAAUACUCGACGGAGUCAUUGCUAGAGAAUGAAGAUAAAAUGGCCCAAGAAAAAGUAGCUGGUGAAGAAAGAAGAGAAAAUGGCGAGUAUGUCACUGGAGAAGUAGUAGAUCUAGAAACACAGCAGUUCAUUGUGGACGAUGAUCAACCAGAAGACAGUAGAGAAAGUAGGGUCUUGAUUACAACAGUAAAAGAAAAUAGUGAAGUUUUCGUCGAAGAAGAUGAUGAUUAUCAAAGAGAGGUCGUCAAAGAGUUCGAUAACAAGUUUCCUGUC
Molecule: unclassified non-coding RNA, 811 nt
Filed under: Hevea brasiliensis (rubber tree)
Lineage: Eukaryota; Viridiplantae; Streptophyta; Magnoliopsida; Malpighiales; Euphorbiaceae
Source: RNAcentral